RNAcentral lists this ribosomal RNA (2269 nucleotides) under Salmonella enterica. RNAcentral describes it as "partial 23S ribosomal RNA". It matches the Rfam family "Bacterial large subunit ribosomal RNA", at positions 681 to 2925 of the family's 2925-position model. RNAcentral also lists the same sequence under 1 other name. The record is from RNAcentral. Lineage: Bacteria; Pseudomonadati; Pseudomonadota; Gammaproteobacteria; Enterobacterales; Enterobacteriaceae.
GUCUUAACCGGGCGUUAAGUUGCAGGGUAUAGACCCGAAACCCGGUGAUCUAGCCAUGGGCAGGUUGAAGGUUGGGUAACACUAACUGGAGGACCGAACCGACUAAUGUUGAAAAAUUAGCGGAUGACCUGUGGCUGGGGGUGAAAGGCCAAUCAAACCGGGAGAUAGCUGGUUCUCCCCGAAAGCUAUUUAGGUAGCGCCUCGUGAAUUCAUCUCCGGGGGUAGAGCACUGUUUCGGCUAGGGGGCCAUCCCGGCUUACCAACCCGAUGCAAACUGCGAAUACCGGAGAAUGUUAUCACGGGAGACACACGGCGGGUGCUAACGUCCGUCGUGAAGAGGGAAACAACCCAGACCGCCAGCUAAGGUCCCAAAGUCAUGGUUAAGUGGGAAACGAUGUGGGAAGGCCCAGACAGCCAGGAUGUUGGCUUAGAAGCAGCCAUCAUUUAAAGAAAGCGUAAUAGCUCACUGGUCGAGUCGGCCUGCGCGGAAGAUGUAACGGGGCUAAACCAUGCACCGAAGCUGCGGCAGCGACGCUGAUGCGUUGUUGGGUAGGGGAGCGUUCUGUAAGCCUGCGAAGGUGUGUCGUGAGGCAUGCUGGAGGUAUCAGAAGUGCGAAUGCUGACAUAAGUAACGAUAAAGCGGGUGAAAAGCCCGCUCGCCGGAAGACCAAGGGUUCCUGUCCAACGUUAAUCGGGGCAGGGUGAGUCGACCCCUAAGGCGAGGCCGAAAGGCGUAGUCGAUGGGAAACGGGUUAAUAUUCCCGUACUUGGUGUUACUGCGAAGGGGGGACGGAGAAGGCUAUGUUGGCCGGGCGACGGUUGUCCCGGUUUAAGCGUGUAGGUGUGUGUUCCAGGUAAAUCCGGUUCACUUUAACACUGAGGCGUGAUGACGAGGCACUACGGUGCUGAAGCAACAAAUGCCCUGCUUCCAGGAAAAGCCUCUAAGCAUCAGGUAACAUCAAAUCGUACCCCAAACCGACACAGGUGGUCAGGUAGAGAAUACCAAGGCGCUUGAGAGAACUCGGGUGAAGGAACUAGGCAAAAUGGUGCCGUAACUUCGGGAGAAGGCACGCUGACACGUAGGUGAAGUGAUUUACUCAUGGAGCUGAAGUCAGUCGAAGAUACCAGCUGGCUGCAACUGUUUAUUAAAAACACAGCACUGUGCAAACACGAAAGUGGACGUAUACGGUGUGACGCCUGCCCGGUGCCGGAAGGUUAAUUGAUGGGGUCAGCGCAAGCGAAGCUCCUGAUCGAAGCCCCGGUAAACGGCGGCCGUAACUAUAACGGUCCUAAGGUAGCGAAAUUCCUUGUCGGGUAAGUUCCGACCUGCACGAAUGGCGUAAUGAUGGCCAGGCUGUCUCCACCCGAGACUCAGUGAAAUUGAACUCGCUGUGAAGAUGCAGUGUACCCGCGGCAAGACGGAAAGACCCCGUGAACCUUUACUAUAGCUUGACACUGAACAUUGAGCCUUGAUGUGUAGGAUAGGUGGGAGGCUUUGAAGUGUGGACGCCAGUCUGCAUGGAGCCGGCCUUGAAAUACCACCCUUUAAUGUUUGAUGUUCUAACGUGGACCCGUGAUCCGGGUUGCGGACAGUGUCUGGUGGGUAGUUUGACUGGGGCGGUCUCCUCCUAAAGAGUAACGGAGGAGCACGAAGGUUGGCUAAUCCUGGUCGGACAUCAGGAGGUUAGUGCAAUGGCAUAAGCCAGCUUGACUGCGAGCGUGACGGCGCGAGCAGGUGCGAAAGCAGGUCAUAGUGAUCCGGUGGUUCUGAAUGGAAGGGCCAUCGCUCAACGGAUAAAAGGUACUCCGGGGAUAACAGGCUGAUACCGCCCAAGAGUUCAUAUCGACGGCGGUGUUUGGCACCUCGAUGUCGGCUCAUCACAUCCUGGGGCUGAAGUAGGUCCCAAGGGUAUGGCUGUUCGCCAUUUAAAGUGGUACGCGAGCUGGGUUUAGAACGUCGUGAGACAGUUCGGUCCCUAUCUGCCGUGGGCGCUGGAGAACUGAGGGGGGCUGCUCCUAGUACGAGAGGACCGGAGUGGACGCAUCACUGGUGUUCGGGUUGUCAUGCCAAUGGCACUGCCCGGUAGCUAAAUGCGGAAGAGAUAAGUGCUGAAAGCAUCUAAGCACGAAACUUGCCCCGAGAUGAGUUCUCCCUGAGACUUAGAGUCUCCUGAAGGAACGUUGAAGACGACGACGUUGAUAGGCCGGGUGUGUAAGCGCAGCGAUGCGUUGAGCUAACCGGUACUAAUGAACCGUGAGGCUUAACCUU